AGUGAACGCUGGCGGCAGGCCUAACACAUGCAAGUCGAGCGGCAGCGCGUCCGACCACCCUCGGGUGGUCGGAUGGCGGCGAGCGGCGGACGGGUGAGGAAUGCAUCAGAAUCUGCCUCGUUGUGGGGGAUAACGUAGGGAAACUUACGCUAAUACCGCAUACGACCUACGGGUGAAAGUGGGGGACCUUCGGGCCUCACGCGAUGAGAUGAGCCGAUGCCGGAUUAGCUAGUUGGCGGGGUAAAGGCCCACCAAGGCGACGAUCCGUAGCUGGUCUGAGAGGAUGAUCAGCCACACUGGAACUGAGACACGGUCCAGACUCCUACGGGAGGCAGCAGUGGGGAAUAUUGGACAAUGGGGGCAACCCUGAUCCAGCCAUGCCGCGUGUGUG
RNAcentral lists this ribosomal RNA (391 nucleotides) under uncultured bacterium. RNAcentral describes it as "bacterial SSU rRNA". It matches the Rfam family "Bacterial small subunit ribosomal RNA", at positions 30 to 407 of the family's 1533-position model. The record is from RNAcentral.